This 253-nucleotide ribosomal RNA is filed under the name uncultured bacterium. RNAcentral's name for it is "partial 16S ribosomal RNA". It matches the Rfam family "Bacterial small subunit ribosomal RNA", at positions 524 to 776 of the family's 1533-position model. The record is from RNAcentral.
UACGGGGGGGGCAAGCGUUGUUCGGAAUUACUGGGCGUAAAGGGUGCGUAGGCGGCUUUCUAAGUUGGAUGUGAAAACUAUGGGCUCAACCCAUAGCCUGCAUCCAAAACUGGAGAGCUUGGGUUCUGGAGGGGAAAGCGGAAUUCCUGGUGUAGCGGUGAAAUGCGCAGAUAUCAGGAAGAACACCCGUGGCUAAGGCGGCUCUCUAGUACGGUACUGACGCUGAGACGCGAAAGCGUGGGGAGCGAACAGG